UACCUGGAGCACUGGCUUUUUCUGACACCUUACGGAUAGGUCCAUCAGAAAAUAGUUCUGUCACAGGCUCUCGGACGUUUUCUGUGGAAGACCUUUCUAAUCCCCUACUCUGCGGCAUCUUCUGUUCAUAUUCGGGACGACGAUAUUUACGCGGUGGGAUCUCAAUCCGCUCCGAGUAGUGGAGCUGUCGGCACCUUUGAAUCCAGAGAUCAUCAGGAAGGUGGGAAACUGAUGUACUCUCAUUAGCAACUUUGCUUUCUGUCCUACUUCACAUGUUACAUUACUAUAGUGCCAGAAGGGAAGAUUGACGCAUGUUGAGGCGCCUUGCACGUGUGGCGCCGUUGGCAUUGCUCGAUGGCUGUUGUGCUAAACUUAAACAAGUUUUAACAGGUCAGUGCUCCGCCUUUGGAACAGAAUGGCACCCAGACGUCGCAAAGCACCGCCUUGCAGCGUGGAC
This 457-nucleotide long non-coding RNA is filed under the name Coccomyxa subellipsoidea. RNAcentral describes it as "long non-coding RNA (CSUB_LNC000468)". Lineage: Eukaryota; Viridiplantae; Chlorophyta; Trebouxiophyceae; Coccomyxaceae. The record is from RNAcentral.